AGCAGCCGCGGUAAUUCCAGCUCCAAUAGCGUAUAUUAAAGUUGUUGCAGUUAAAAAGCUCGUAGUUGAAUUUCGGGAUUGACACAUCGGUCGUGCCUUAAGGGGUAUGAACUGGUGUAGUCAAUUUCUCACCUUCUGGAGAACCGCGAUGCCCUUAAUUGGGUGUCGCGGGGAACCAGGACCUUUACUUUGAAAAAUUAGAGUGUUUAAAGCAGGCAUUUUGCUUGAAUACAUUAGCAUGGAAUAAUAAAAUAGGACGGCAUGAUUCUAUUUUGUUGGUUUCUAGGAUCACCGUAAUGACUAAUAGGGAUAGUUGGGGGCAUUAGUAUUCAAUUGUCAGAGGUGGAAUUCUUGGAUUUAUUGAAGACUAACUACUGCGAAAGCAUUUGCCAAGGAUGUUUUCAUUAAUCAAGAACGAAAGUUAGGGGAUCGAAGACGAUCAGAUACCGUCGUAGUCUUAACCAUAAACUAUGCCGACUAGGAAUCAGACGAUGUUAAUUUUUAAUGUAACUCGUUUGGC
This 520-nucleotide ribosomal RNA is filed under the name uncultured Entrophospora. Its description in RNAcentral is "SSU rRNA". It matches the Rfam family "Eukaryotic small subunit ribosomal RNA", at positions 569 to 1084 of the family's 1831-position model. The record is from RNAcentral. Lineage: Eukaryota; Fungi; Glomeromycota; Glomeromycetes; Entrophosporales; Entrophosporaceae.